GGUUGAGAGUUUAAGGCCAUAGCAGAAGUGCUCGUGGUGUGGCCCUGUCAGAUUCCAAUGAAUCUGCAAAUUCUGCU
Molecule: non-coding RNA, 77 nt
Organism: Crocodylus porosus (Australian saltwater crocodile)
Lineage: Eukaryota; Metazoa; Chordata; Crocodylia; Crocodylidae
Source: Ensembl